Prinia subflava (tawny-flanked prinia) is the source of this 3402-nucleotide long non-coding RNA. RefSeq lists it as uncharacterized. The record is from RefSeq and is a predicted model, not a curated record. NCBI's taxonomy places the organism in Eukaryota, Metazoa, Chordata, Aves, Passeriformes, Cisticolidae. The transcript has 3 exons.
UCCAGCUCCAUGCCUUGCCAGGUUCAUACUGUUUUUCCAGUGUUUUUUGCCAACCAUGAGCUUUCUGACAAACCAGAGUAGUCAGCCUUUGCUAUACUGUUAUUUUUUCACCUUAAAAAAAAAAAAAAGGAACACUUGCAUCUAAUAUUUAUCUUGAAUGUAGCUCAUCAAGAACCCAGUUGCUGAAAGGCUCUGUAGGAGUCCGACUGCUGGCUUGUGGUGCAUGCAGUGGUAAGACAGGUGCUGAGACUUUCACUGGCUCUCAAGUAACAAAAGUACUUCUCUAACAGCAGCUUUUGUUUAUUUUAGUUUGAUGAAUGCCAGGGUAGCAAACAGCAUGGGAAGAAACACAAAUAAGAAUGUAACAUCUUUACAAAUACGCCCAAAUCAUCUUGGGGAAGAGGGAACUGUGGACUGGACCUGGCUUGGAUAAGCUGGAAUGGAUCAGAGGUGUCAGAAUUCAAACUUUGGCAGUUGUGGAUACAUAGAUUUCUUGAGGAAUUUUUCAAGUUUGUGUUUAAAAGCCACAAGUAAAAGCCUCAUUCCUCUCCCACUGAGGAAAGUAUUCCUCCGAUUAUGAUAAUUAUGAUAAUUAUGAUCAGUAAGCUUUUCUUGAUACUCAGUGUAUGUUUUUGCUUCUCAGUUGCUCUCUGGACUCUGAUGUUCCUUGAGAAUCCUGCUGAAAAACGCCUUUCCUUCACUGGUGGUCUUCUUCAAAUAUCAGUAGGCUGUUAUCAUGUCCCCCAUUAAUCAUAUCUUAGCCAAGCAAUUUAUAUUUUUAACUCUUCUAAUGUCUUCUCAUAAAUCAAUCCUCUUAGUCUUUGGGUCAUGUUUGGUGCUCUUCUUUGAACUCUCAAAUUUGUCAAUAUCCAGAAAUGUGUAUAAUAUUCCAGAUGGAGCUGUACCAGCAUCAUGCAGAAAGUGGUGUUUGUUCCUUUCUCAGUGAUGUGACACUGGUUACCCUGUCCAAUAUUGUACUGGCCUUUUCACACCAUAGCUUGUUACCAAUUCAUGUCAUAUAGCACGAGCUAUCUCCCUACAUCUCUUUCAUCAUUAUUGCAUCUGAGAUUUUGCCUUCCUGUUAUUCCUUCUCACAUGAUUUCCUAGGCUGCAUUAUUUUCCAAGUUACGUUUCCUUAGUUGUUUUGUUUCCAUGGUUCUACCUCCCCUAGAAAAAUUUUCUAUUAUUUUCUUUGUUCACUGUCUUUCUUUCACACUCAUAUCUGUGAGUUUCAUCAAAGUGCUGUGGACUCUCUUUUCCAGAUCGUUAAUAAAGAAGUCCAACAGACUGUUCUCAGCAGUCAUCCACAUGGCAGCCAGGAGACAGUUCCCACCACCUUGCUACAUUGCAGUUUAUUUCCUGUAAUUUCAUUACCUCAGCAACUUGAAAGCCACAUGGAAAUGGCUGAGCCAGUGUGAAUUACUUUUUCAGCUAAGAUCCUGUGAGAUACAACUUCGUGCCCCUAUUAAAGCUCAUCUGCACUUGGAUAGUCCCCUGCCCGUGCUCAAGGCCCUGCACCCAAGGCUCACUGAAGACAGAGUGACUGUCAGGAACAGAAACUGGAUUUACAAGAGUCUGUCUGCUGUACCCUUCCUGUUUUUUAAGAUAAUGCCAAAGUGUUCUUGCUAAUGAGAUCAUGUUUGAAAAACAAUGCAUACUUGGACUUGAAAGCAAGCUGAUGGAACGACAGGACAUUCAUUUCUUGGCCAGCCUUGGCUCUGUGGACUCAUCUGGGAUGCGAGGACUUUGCUGACUCUGGUUCCUGUCACUGGACUGGCUCUGAUCCUGUAUGGGUGGUGUGUUCCUGCCUCUGCCUUGCUGUUACCAUCAGCUGUAGAACAGGAGGGGAAUGAGGCCUGUGAAGCCUCAACAGAGCAUGGUGACUUUCAGUUUCUAGUUACUCAAUAUCGUCUUUUUGUUUGGUUUAGUCCAUUCAGUGUGACUAUGUAGCUUUCUUGGGUUUUUUAUCACCAGAACUUGCUAUUUCAUCAAAAAAAUAAGACCAUGCUUGUCUGAGAAGACUUAACUUUCCUGAAAAUGUGCCAAGAUGAAUGUUCUGCUGCCAUCAUUUAAUUAUGUACUGAUUGUCUCCAAUGUUAAGCUUCCAAGACUGGGAUGAUGCCUCUUUUCAUCUUAAUAAGUUGAAUAUCUAUUAGUCAUCAUGUUGACCAUUUUAAAACAUUAGCAUUACUUUAGCUUCUUUUAUAGUCCUCUCAGACUCUUCCAGCUUUUAAAAGAAGUCAGUGUAUGUGGAUCAGAGUGUUCCCUGGCAAGAUGCUUUCAUACCCGAGUAGAAGUUGGCCAGCACCAUUUAUUUGCUGCUGGGUAAUAUUUCUCUACUGGCUGAUGGAACAAGAAGAGGCUCCACAGUCACUUCAGGAUCUACGAGCACUCCCACACACAAAGCUCUGGCACAAGCAUGAAGUAAAUGCAGUCAGAAGGACUUUAAAAGGAGUUAAAAUAUUUGCAGAAAGAUCAAAAGAUUGGAUUUUGCAUUAUUCUCCUCUGUAAUGGAGACAGAAGAGUAGCCCUGGCUCUAGUCCUCCCUGUAUUAUUAUAUUAAAUACUGCCUGCCCUGAACUUGUUAAAUUUAUACCUUACUUUACCAUCCCAGCACAAGCCUCAUCUAGAAUCACCACUGAGUCCGUAGUCCCCAGACCCUUCAGGAAGAAGCUGGAAGCUUCAGCCCAGCUCUGGUCCAGGUGGGAGCUCCAGCUGCGAGGAGCUGCCUCCCCACUGCUCCGGCAGGCACAAAGCGCCCUCAGUGCUCCCCAUGGCUCCUGACCCUGCUCUGAAAAGCACUUCAGUUCUCAGUGACAGGGCAGGAAAUGCUGCAGGUUUGGGGCAUGCAGAGACAUUUUCACUCAUAUUCUAGUGCAAAAACUGGAUCAUGAACCCAACUGUUUUGUUUCGGUUUUUUGUUUGUUUAGCUUUUUACAAAAGAAAGCACAGGAAAACUAGCUCCAGAGUGAGCAAUUAUUGGUGAAAUAAUUUGCUUUGGAAGUUAAAAGAUGUGAAGAAGUGGUCAAAAUAAUUCAGAUCACUGUAAAAAAGAAUAAGCAUGAGAAAUAAUUGAAGUCACCAAUAAGCCAAUAUGGGAAAAUAUUUUAUGUUCUUUUCCCUUUACUUUGUUUUACUUGGAAAACUUUCUGUUUUGAGAGAUUUCAUAAUAUGUUAGAUAAAAAUGUAUUCAUGAGCCACUUGCUGUUAUUAAAGUACACUGUUAAAAACUCAAGGUAUCCUUUUCCAAUUCAUAACCAAAAUUUCACAUCUUUGUAGCUUCAUCUCUUGAGCUUCACUCAUCAUUUUUCCUAAGUGGAACUUUAGUAUUAAUUUAUUAGACUGUGCCAGCGAGAAAAGCAAAAGGCAAGGGGAAAAAAAAUAAUGUUCCUAAUAACUCAU